RNAcentral lists this long non-coding RNA (1239 nucleotides) under Bos mutus (wild yak). RNAcentral's name for it is "lncRNA (ENSBMUG00000011735.1)". The record is from RNAcentral. Lineage: Eukaryota; Metazoa; Chordata; Mammalia; Artiodactyla; Bovidae.
GGAGUCCUCCCACAGAGGCAACUUGAGCCUCAACUUGGCAGAAUAUGAAACAGCCUUGGCCAUCCCUUUCUCUGCAAGUUUCUCUUUAAUUGCAGAAAUCUGGGUGGCCUUCGCACGAGUUGUUUGUACAGCCACGGAAAAGAGAUAAGUUUGGUAACCUUGGAAAACCCGAUCUCUUUUUUUUCCCAGCCUCCUGAGAAGCAAGGUCCAGAGGAACAAACACUGUGCGUGGGAAACCAGAGAGGGGCUCUGGAGGAGGGGACGGAAGAGGCCAGAAACGGGGUGGCUUUUCUGAAGAGUACUAGUAAAAGGAGAAAGGAAUUGAGGACUUUUGACCACACAACGUGUAAGAAAGAAAGUGUUACAGCGUUUGUGUUUUCCCGACUGGCUUUCGGGACCAUGGUCCCUUUUAGAGCGACACUACUGUCUUGCCCUGUGACAUCCUCCCAAAGAGCCUGAAUCACUGCAUGCACCAUAAUGAUGGUGGAUUAGGUGACUGAACGAAAGCUGUGAGGUAAUUAAAACAGGUGGAGAAAUAGUAAUAACAACAGCCCUCACAGUCAUCAGUGGCUACCUAUAAGAAUUCCCUAGCAUCUUCUAUCCAUUACAUUAUUUAAUCCUCUCUACAAAACUCCACAUAUGGCAUCAUCUUAUUACAUAGGGAAAGCUUAGAUUAUUUGAUUAUCUUUGUUCUUGCAUCCUUUUUUUUGUUGUUGUUCUUGCAUCCUAACAAGGCAACUUAGGUUGUAUCUAUACGAUGCCCAAUAGCUAGUUAAAUCAAAGCAAUUUUGGAAUCAUAUAUGCAAAGUUGUUUGUAGAACUAGUUUUUAUUUGUGUUAGAAUGUCUUUGCGUAAAUAAUCCAGUGAUUAUUAUUCAUUAUCAUUAUUUACAAAUUAUCAUCUUCCCAUCUCAGCACAAAUUAGAGGCUUUACUACAAGGCUUGUGGAGGAAGUACCCUACCAGCUAAUUCAACGCAAUACAUAAUAUUUAGUCCAUUAAACUACAGGCAUGAUCAGUGUCCCAUAAAAGCAACUAAAGAAGAGGAGUUUGUGGCUAGUUAUAUGUAAAAAUCAAUGUGUACGUUCCAAUGAGUUGUAUAAAAACAGUAAUAGUGUGGCCAUUUGUUCCCCCACACAGUGUAACACAGACAGAUCUUUAAGGCCAGUGUUCCAAAGUGCCCAAGUCAUUCUUUAACCAAUUUAAAUAAAAAAAGGAGUUUCUCACUACUAAUAAAAAUA